UGGUGCAAUUUGGCAGCACGACGGUCUUUGGAACCGUAUGUUGCAGGUUCGAGUCCUGCCCCGCCUGCGA
RNAcentral lists this transfer RNA (70 nucleotides) under Bifidobacterium pseudolongum subsp. globosum. RNAcentral describes it as "partial tRNA-Gln". It matches the Rfam family "tRNA". From Rfam's summary of the family: Transfer RNA (tRNA) molecules are approximately 80 nucleotides in length. Their secondary structure includes four short double-helical elements and three loops (D, anti-codon, and T loops). The record is from RNAcentral. Lineage: Bacteria; Bacillati; Actinomycetota; Actinomycetes; Bifidobacteriales; Bifidobacteriaceae.